AUUGAACGCUAGCGGGAUGCUUUACACAUGCAAGUCGAACGGCAGCGCGAGAGAGCUUGCUCUCUUGGCGGCGAGUGGCGGACGGGUGAGUAAUAUAUCGGAACGUGCCCAGUAGCGGGGGAUAACUACUCGAAAGAGUGGCUAAUACCGCAUACGCCCUACGGGGGAAAGGGGGGGAUCGCAAGACCUCUCACUAUUGGAGCGGCCGAUAUCGGAUUAGCUAGUUGGUGGGGUAAAGGCUCACCAAGGCAACGAUCCGUAGCUGGUUUGAGAGGACGACCAGCCACACUGGGACUGAGACACGGCCCAGACUCCUACGGGAGGCAGCAGUGGGGAAUUUUGGACAAUGGGGGAAACCCUGAUCCAGCCAUCCCGCGUGUAUGAUGAAGGCCUUCGGGUUGUAAAGUACUUUUGGCAGAGAAGAAAAGGUACCUCCUAAUACGAGGUACUGCUGACGGUAUCUGCNGAAUAAGCACCGGCUAACUACGUGCCAGCAGCCGCGGUAAUACGUAGGGUGCAAGCGUUAAUCGGAAUUACUGGGCGUAAAGCGUGUGUAGGCGGUUCGGAAAGAAAGAUGUGAAAUCCCAGGGCUNNACCUUGGAACUGCAUUUUUAACUGCCGAGCUAGAGUAUGUCAGAGGGGGGUAGAAUUCCACGUGUAGCAGUGAAAUGCGUAGAUAUGUGGAGGAAUACCGAUGGCGAAGGCAGCCCCCUGGGAUAAUACUGACGCUCAGACACGAAAGCGUGGGGAGCAAACAGGAUUAGAUACCCUGGUAGUCCACGCCCUAAACGAUGUCAACUAGCUGUUGGGGCCGUUAGGCCUUAGUAGCGCAGCUAACGCGUGAAGUUGACCGCCUGGGGAGUACGGUCGCAAGAUUAAAACUCAAAGGAAUUGACGGGGACCCGCACAAGCGGUGGAUGAUGUGGAUUAAUUCGAUGCAACGCGAAAAACCUUACCUACCCUUGACAUGUCUGGAAAGCCGAAGAGAUUUGGCCGUGCUCGCAAGAGAACCGGAACACAGGUGCUGCAUGGCUGUCGUCAGCUUGUGUCGUGAGAUGUUGGGUUAAGUCCCGCAACGAGCGCAACCCUUGUCAUUAGUUGCUACGCAAGAGCACUCUAAUGAGACUGCCGGUGACAAACCGGAGGAAGGUGGGGAUGACGUCAAGUCCUCAUGGCCCUUAUGGGUAGGGCUUCACACGUCAUACAAUGGUCGGGACAGAGGGUCGCCAACCCGCGGGGGGGAGCCAAUCUCAGAAACCCGAUCGUAGUCCGGAUCGCAGUCUGCAACUCGACUGCGUGAAGUCGGAAUCGCUAGUAAUCGCGGAUCAGAAUGUCGCGGUGAAUACGUUCCCGGGUCU
This 1358-nucleotide ribosomal RNA is filed under the name uncultured bacterium. RNAcentral's name for it is "bacterial SSU rRNA". It matches the Rfam family "Bacterial small subunit ribosomal RNA", at positions 28 to 1381 of the family's 1533-position model. The record is from RNAcentral.